UAGAAUUCCACGUGUAGCGGUGAAAUGCGUAGAGAUGUGGAGGAAUACCGGUGGCGAAGGCGGCCUUCUGGACAGAUACUGACGCUGAGAUGCGAAAACGUGGGGAGCAAACAGGAUUAGAUACCCUGGUAGUCCACGCUGUAAACGAUGUCGAUUUGGAGUUUGUUGCCUAGAGUGAUGGGCUCCGAAGCUAACGCGAUAAAUCGACCGCCUGGGGAGUACGGCCGCAAGGUUAAAACUCAAAUGAAUUGACGGGGGCCCGCACAAGCGGUGGAGCGUGUGGUUUAAUUCGAUGCAACGCGAAGAACCUUACCUGGUCUUGACAUCCACAGAAUCUUGCAGAGAUGCGAGAGUGCCUUCGGGAACUGUGAGACAGGUGCUGCAUGGCUGUCGUCAGCUCGUGUUGUGAAAUGUUGGGUUAAGUCCCGCAACGAGCGCAACCCUUAUCCUUUGUUGCCAGCGAUUCGGUCGGGAACUCAAAGGAGACUGCCGUUGAUAAAGCGGAGGAAGGUGGGGACGACGUCAAGUCAUCAUGGCCCUUACGACCAGGGCUACACACGUGCUACAAUGGCGUAUACAAGGGGAGGCGACCUCGCGAGAGCAAGCGGACCUCAUAAAGUACGUCUAAGUCCGGAUUGGAGUCUGCAACUCGACUCCAUGAAGUCGGAACCGCUAGUAAUCGUGAAUCAGAAUGU
Molecule: ribosomal RNA, 695 nt
Filed under: uncultured Gilliamella sp.
Lineage: Bacteria; Pseudomonadati; Pseudomonadota; Gammaproteobacteria; Orbales; Orbaceae
Description: bacterial SSU rRNA
Rfam family: Bacterial small subunit ribosomal RNA
Source: RNAcentral